GUCAAGUCAUCAUGGCCCUUACGUCCAGGGCUACAAACGUGCUACAAUGGUCAGUACAAAGGGCUGCGAACCCGCGAGGGGGAGCCAAUCCCAAAAAACUGGCCUCAGUACGGAUAGGAGUCUGCAACUCGACUCCUUGAAGUUGGAAUCGCUAGUAAUCGCUGAUCAGCAUGGCAGCGGUGAAUACGUUCCCGGGCCUU
This 200-nucleotide ribosomal RNA is filed under the name uncultured organism. RNAcentral's name for it is "partial small subunit ribosomal RNA". It matches the Rfam family "Bacterial small subunit ribosomal RNA", at positions 1184 to 1382 of the family's 1533-position model. The record is from RNAcentral.